Molecule: ribosomal RNA, 375 nt
Filed under: uncultured Glomus
Lineage: Eukaryota; Fungi; Glomeromycota; Glomeromycetes; Glomerales; Glomeraceae
Description: SSU rRNA
Rfam family: Eukaryotic small subunit ribosomal RNA
Source: RNAcentral
UGAAUUUCGGGAUUAGUGGGUUGGUCAUGCCUUGGUAUGUACUGCAUCCCGAGUAGCAUCCUUCUAAAGAACCAUGAUGUCAUUCAUUUGAUGUUAUGGGGAAUUAGGACUGUUACCUUGAAAAAAUUAGAGUGUUUAAAGCAAGCUUACGCUUGAAUACAUUAGCAUGGAAUAAUGAAAUAGGACAUCAGAUUCUAUUUUGUUGGUUUCUAGGAUCGAUGUAAUGAUUAAUAGGGAUAGUUGGGGGCAUUAGUAUUCAAUUGUCAGAGGUGAAAUUCUUGGAUUUAUUGAAGACUAACUACUGCGAAAGCAUUUGCCAAGGAUGUUUUCAUUAAUCAAGAACGAAAGUUAGGGGAUCGAAGACGAUCAGAUACC